Bombina bombina (fire-bellied toad) is the source of this 1216-nucleotide long non-coding RNA. RefSeq lists it as uncharacterized. The record is from RefSeq and is a predicted model, not a curated record. The transcript has 2 exons. Lineage: Eukaryota; Metazoa; Chordata; Amphibia; Anura; Bombinatoridae.
CUGCAGAGCAAGUAAAACACUGGUGUUGUGUUUCCCUCACGGAGGUUUGUCGGACGAUGCAGCUUUCACACUUUGAUUAAUCAAAGCGUCGCUUACCAAGAAUAUGUCGCAUGCCGGUGCAGUACACGUUGUGUUCAGCAGAGGUUAGCACAAGUGGUUGGUGACAUGGGUGACUUGUCAGACUUCCAAAGAGAACAAAUCGAGGGAGCCGCUUUUGCAGGAUCGGUUUUAACCAUGACAGCCAAAUUGUUUGAUGUUGCAAGAGCAACAGUCUCCAUGGAUAUGACUGCGUACACAAAGCAUGACAAGACUUAAUCGGUGAGGAAGAAUAGUGGGCAAGAAUCAAAACUGAAUGAUAGGGAACAAGGAUUGUGUCCAAACAACAUAGAACUACUGCAGCAAAUGUAACAGCAGAACUCAAUAUCCACCUUGAAAACCCUGUUUCCACAAAAAUAGUCCACAGAAAACUUUAUAAUGCCAACAUCCAUGGAAGAGCUGCAACAGCUAAACCUGUGAUCACAGACGCAUCAUUUACAUUAUUCCCAACAGCAGGUCGCGUUUAUGUAUGGAGAACCCCCAAGGAAGUGUACAACUUGUACUGUCUGGAUCCAACUCUCACACAUGAAGGUGGAUCUGUGAUGAUUUGGGGGCCAUAUUUUGUUAAUCAGCUUGUCCCAUCAUUAUUCUAAAUGGUCGAGUUACUGCUAGCAAGUAUUUGGACAUUCUAAGUGAUCAGGUGCAUUAUAUGGUCCAAAUGUUGUUUGCCAACAAUUAUUAAAUUGUUCAUUAUAAUAAUAUGCCCAUACACACAGCCAGAAAAGUUCUGUCUUGAUUUGAGGACCACCAAGAUAAACUUCAAUAUCUGCCCUGACUUCGAUAACAUUGAACCACUGUGGGCAGUUUUGGAGAGCAGAGUGAGAAGCAGAUUCUCUUCUUCAACAUCUCUGAAACAAUUGGCAGAUGUUCUGAUAGAUGAUAGGUAUAACAUUCCACUGGAGAGUAUUCAAAAUUCUAUAAUCCUAUUCUUGAAAGUUGGAAGAUGUAUUAACCCCUUAAUGACCACAGCACUUUUCCAUUUUCUGUCCGUUUGGGACCAAGGCUAUUUUUACAUUUUUGCGGUGUUUGUGUUUAGCUGUAAUUUUCUUCUUACUCAUUUACUGUACCUACACAUAUUAUAUACCGUUUUUCUCGCCAUUAAAUGGACUUUCUAAAGAUA